CCUACGGGUGGCAGCAGUGAGGAAUAUUGGUCAAUGGACGAGAGUCUGAACCAGCCAAGUAGCGUGAAGGAUGACUGCCCUAUGGGUUGUAAACUUCUUUUAUAUGGGAAUAAAAUGUUCCACGUGUGGGAUUUUGUAUGUACCAUAUGAAUAAGGAUCGGCUAACUCCGUGCCAGCAGCCGCGGUAAUACGGAGGAUCCGAGCGUUAUCUGGUUUUAUUGGGUUUAAAGGGAGCGUAGGUGGAUUGUUAAGUCAGUUGUGAAAGUUUGCGGCUCAACCGUAAAAUUGCAGUUGAAACUGGCAGUCUUGAGUACAGUAGAGGUGGGCGGAAUUCGUGGUGUAGCGGUGAAAUGCUUAGAUAUCACGAAGAACUCCGAUUGCGAAGGCAGUUCACUGGACUGCAACUGACACUGAGGCUCGAAAGUGUGGGUAUCAAACAGGAUUAGAUACCCGUGUAGUC
RNAcentral lists this ribosomal RNA (460 nucleotides) under uncultured bacterium. RNAcentral describes it as "partial 16S ribosomal RNA". It matches the Rfam family "Bacterial small subunit ribosomal RNA", at positions 338 to 795 of the family's 1533-position model. The record is from RNAcentral.